Amphimedon queenslandica is the source of this 788-nucleotide long non-coding RNA. RefSeq lists it as uncharacterized. NCBI's taxonomy places the organism in Eukaryota, Metazoa, Porifera, Demospongiae, Haplosclerida, Niphatidae. The record is from RefSeq and is a predicted model, not a curated record. The transcript has 3 exons.
AGGAUCUGUUACAAGAGUGACACUAACAGUGAGACUGAGAGAAGCUGGUAACUAUCAGUGUACUGUAUCUAACACCAGGGUCACUGAUGGUAAUAAUGGUGAUAUUGGAGGUGUUCAGGCAACUAGUACUAACACAUUAUUGAGUAUAUCAGUAUCUGAUACCCCAACUGGUUUAACUGCUACAAGAUUAAGUACUGGUUUAGCUCAUGUAAGACUCUCCUGGCCUACUGUAUCAGGAGCUACUGGUUAUGAGGUCUACUAUCAACUGUCUAGUAAUACUCCUGUUAGUGUAGGCACUACUGCUUCAACAACAAUCAAUAUAACAUCAGGAUUGUUUCGAGGGAUUACAUACACUUUCUAUGUAGUAUCUUAUGGAUCAGCUUCUCUGCCUAGUGGUAAUGCUUCAGUAAUCUUAAAAUUUAGUAAGAUAUCACAUAACUAUUAAAUUAACAUCUGAUAUGUACCUGGUAUAUUAUUUCAGGUGAUCCUGUUGUUAGUGAUUUGAUGGCUACAGUUAUUACAACUUCAGCCAUUAUAUUAACAUGGAGUCCACCAACUGCUGUAGUACCAAUUAGUUAUGAAAUUAAAAGGAGAUGUAGAAGAGUAUGUGAAUCAUCAGUCACUAGUAAUAGUGAAACAUCAGUUUUAUCACCACAUACUUCAACUGGUAUACCUCCUUACAGUCAAUGUGCCUUUGAUCUUAUUGGAGUGUAUGGAUCUCUGAAAGUUUUUUUGACUACAAAUUAUUUAGCUAAUACACCUUCAACUGCUCCUACUGCACCAGUGGG